AACGUAGGACGCAAACGUUAUCCGGAAUUACUGGGCGUAAAGGGCGCGCAGGCGGGUUCGUAAGUGAGGCAUGAAAGCUUCCGGCUAAACCGGGAGAGGCUGUCUGAGACUGCGGACCUAGAGUGCGAUAGAGGGGUGUAGAAUUCCGCGUGUAGUGGUGAAAUGCGUAGAGAUGCGGAGGAAUACCAGAGGCGAAGGCGGCACCCUGGAUCGUAACUGACGCUGAGGCGCGAAAGCAUGGGGAGCGAACGGG
RNAcentral lists this ribosomal RNA (253 nucleotides) under uncultured bacterium. Its description in RNAcentral is "partial 16S ribosomal RNA". It matches the Rfam family "Bacterial small subunit ribosomal RNA", at positions 524 to 776 of the family's 1533-position model. The record is from RNAcentral.